Candoia aspera is the source of this 692-nucleotide long non-coding RNA. RefSeq lists it as uncharacterized. The transcript is spliced from 2 exons. The record is from RefSeq and is a predicted model, not a curated record. NCBI's taxonomy places the organism in Eukaryota, Metazoa, Chordata, Lepidosauria, Squamata, Candoiidae.
GAGUUGAAGUCCACACAUCUUAAAGUUCCCAAAUUGCUAAGAUGGAGAAACAGCGCUCUUGAUGUAUUACACUAUAACACCUGUAAUAGUCCAGUACAUCUAGAGGGCAUCAGGUUGAGAGAGACUUGCAAUUCUUGGGGAUGCUUGUGGGAGCAACUUUCUAAACACUGGAUACCACCUUCCUCCAGUCAUAUGAAAUUAUAUAAGCAGGACCCCAAGAAGCUUCCAUGGCUGGGCCCUGCAUGUCAAGGCAAGCAUGAAAAAACAGGGACAAUUUGAAAGAAAUAGCAGAACACCCAAGCUGGACUCAUAGACUAGGCACAUGUGUCUGGCAGUCAAAGGAAUAAUUGAAAAUGCAGGGACAAACCUAUGGGAGUAGAGUGUGUCCUACUUUCACUGAACAUAGAAGCAAUGAGUUGGGAUGGGCUCCUAUAGUUGACUCUUCUUACCGCUGCAUGCUGUUGUAGCUGUCAAAUUUACCAUUUUUCAAAGGAAUUGUUUUCUCCACCAACCCAAGUCAACAGUAGUAGGCAUUUGUCAUCAUUUUGCAAAAAUGAAAUAAGAUUAUGAAUGAGGCUACUGAUGGUACUGCAACAUAACAUCUCCAAGUUGGUGUUUACAUUUGUGUCUGUAUGUGUGCAUUUGCUUAGGUCACAUACACUUGGCACAAUAAACUUGCUUUCAUUUAACAA